AUUUCUUCGGAAUGAAACCUGAUAUGACUUAGUGGCGGACUGGUGAGUAACGCGUGAGGAACCUGCCUUUCAGAGGGGGACAACAGUUGGAAACGACUGCUAAUACCGCAUAAGACCACAGCACCGCAUGGUGCAGGGGUAAAAACUCCGGUGGUAUGAGAUGGACUCGCGUCCAAUUAGCUAGUUGGUGAGGUAACGGCCCACCAAGGCGACGAUUGGUAGCCGGACUGAGAGGUUGAACGGCCACAUUGGGACUGAGACACGGCCCAGACUCC
RNAcentral lists this ribosomal RNA (275 nucleotides) under uncultured Eubacteriales bacterium. RNAcentral's name for it is "uncultured Clostridiales bacterium partial 16S ribosomal RNA". It matches the Rfam family "Bacterial small subunit ribosomal RNA", at positions 72 to 339 of the family's 1533-position model. Lineage: Bacteria; Bacillati; Bacillota; Clostridia; Eubacteriales. The record is from RNAcentral.